Long non-coding RNA from Equus asinus (donkey), 2352 nucleotides. The record is from Ensembl. NCBI's taxonomy places the organism in Eukaryota, Metazoa, Chordata, Mammalia, Perissodactyla, Equidae.
GUUGUUAGUGGAUCUUGGGGGGUGGGGGGGAAGAAAAGUAAGACAGUUGAGUGAGUUUUUCAUAAAACUACAUACUUAAGAUAAAGGAUUGUCCUUUAUUCUGAGACUCUUAUUUUUGGAAUAAACAUUUAACUCUUUGGAAACUUGUCUAUUUUCAUAUUAUUAGGAAAUCAAAAGGCGUUCUAUGUUGAUGCCUAAAAUGGGGGAGGGGGUAUUUAUUAUAAAAUCCACAGGCGAACCUAACUUGACAGUUCCUCGUUGACCCCUGCAGCGUGGCGUCCCGAGGUCCGUCCGCCUCGAUCCAGCGUGUUCCCCGAGGGAGGAGAGGCUCCCUCCCUCCUAGUGGGGAAGUAUGACCCUGCCAAAGGAAACAAAUCCUGAGUCAUGAAUGCCUCCUGGUUGCUGCCUCCGCAUGGCUAAUGAGUGGUAUAGGUCCACACCCGGGAUCUGCACCCUCGAACCCAGGCUGCCAAAGUGGAACAUGCCAAACUUAACUACUACGCCACAGGGCCAGCCCAUGACAGGCAAUGGAGACUUCUCUUUAAAUUCACCGAAACGUAGCAGCGGUUCCCAGAUCUGGGAAGCAGCAGCAUGCUGGACGCCGGGACCAGGAGCAAGCCAGCACUGCUCCCUUCCGAGAACCUAGAACCAUGGGUGAGAGCGCGAGGCUGCGCGAAGAGGAGUUUAGAAAAGCGAGCAGCUGCGGGCCAAGGAGGAGCCACAGAGACCUGGGGACUUGGAUGGCCCCAGACUGACUAGACACCAGGGGUCCCUGCUUGCAUGUCAAAGACUGACCCCAUCCUCUACCUGGGGCUGUAUAAGCCUUUGGGUUUGGGGACAAUUAAGGAGUGAAGGAGCCCCAUGGAGGAGAUACUGAGCUUCCUGCUCAUCAGGCAAAUGGGGAAUUAAGCCAGUUUUCUUUAUGGGAGAAAAUGUAAAAAGACAGGAUCAUCUUGCACCCUCUCUUUGUGGGGCAGUUCAUCCUACUGACUCAGGUAUCACCCGGACUCUGAGAUAUCUUUGCACUGGGGUAACAUCUCCCGCCUUAGCAGCAACUUCUAGAACCUGUGCUCCAACCAACCUGGGCUGCCUCCUUUCUCCAACUGCCCCUUGGCCUUCUGCCUCUGGGGCUUUGCUCUUACUGCCCCCUGGCCUCCAGUGCCUUCCCUUCCCACCCGUAAUCAUUAAACUCCUACUCAUUCUUUACGACCUAAUUCUAGUGUGACUUGCGACAUGAUGCCUCUCUGAUCACUUCACCCAGAAGCCAUCUUCCUUUCCUUUUACUUUUGCAGGAUUUUCUUUUGGCAUUUGCAUGCCUCUUUUUCACAUUACACCUAAUAGUGUAUUGUAGUUAUUUGUCAAUUUGUCUUUUUAUAGCUAAUAGAUUGUAAACUGCAUAUCUUUAUGUCUCCCAUAGUGCUGUAUACAUAGAAAGUACCCCUUAAAUAAAAAAAUAAAAUAAAAUUGCUACCAAGGUGUGGUAGACAUUGGGAAUGUCUUUCCAAUACCUCUUAUCCUCCUCCCCAUUGUGUAGUCACCAUUGGUGUGAGUGGCAUUGGCCUCACUCAAUUCUAGGGGUGGUCCCCAAUGGUGUAAGACACUCCCAACCCACUUGCCAAAGUGAUAGGUUUUUUUGAGCCUGAGCCAAUCGGCACAUGGUCCUGGGGGUCCAAUCAGAAUGAGGCUCAGGACUUAAGCACAAUGAUUAUGGGAAGCGACAGCCCCUCUCCCCCCCAGACUAAUUGUCAAGAAAUUCCAACUGAGUUGUUCAGUUCCAACUGAGCUGCUGUUCACAGGCAUCUUGCACCCAUGAAGAAAGCCAGCCUAGAAAGGAAUCUGGCCCACAAAGGAGGACAGGGCAGAGAGAAUCAGAGAAACAGAGCUGGGGCCCUGGUUAAAGCGUACUGGAAGCCUGCUCUAACAUUCAGCCUUUCAGCCACGUGAACCAAUAAACGCUCUUCAUGGUUUCUCUCUUGCAACCCAAAGCAUCCGACGCAGUGCACCGGGAGUGCAUCAUUGUGGGUUCACACGCGCACGUGUGCAUUUGCAUGUAUGCACACACACAACCUGAAUCUUACUAGGGAGAAGGGAGAAAACACACAUCUCCAAUUCCUGGGGUGGUGGCAACAUCUCAUUUUACCAAACUGCACACUUUAAAGCUUUUCAUAACAGUUACCAAGACAUAGAACUGAUGUCUUUUGAUAAUUUCUCAUUGAUUUCUGUAUUAAAAAUGAUUUUGUAGUUUUAACCUGAAUUCUUAAGAAUAUCUGACUCUAGAAACUAGUAAUAAAUUGUGAAAUUUUUUCCUUUAAAAAAAUUAAUAUACUGUUUGUGGCCCCUUUAAUAGUACUU